AAUAAACGUUGGCGGCGUGCCUAACACAUGCAAGUCGAGCGGAAAACUUCGGUUUUCAGCGGCGGACGGGUGAGUAACACGUGGGCAACCUGCCUCACAAUGAGGGAUAGCCUUCCGAAAGGAAGAUUAAUACCUCAUAACACAGGAGAAACGCAUGUUUCUCUUGCCAAAGAAUUUCGUUGUGAGAUGGGCCCGCGGCGCAUUAGCUUGUUGGUGAGGUGACGGCUCACCAAGGCUUCGAUGCGUAGCCGACCUGAGAGGGUGAUCGGCCACAUUGGAACUGAGACACGGUCCAGACUCCUACGGGAGGCAGCAGUGGGGAAUAUUGCACAAUGGAGGAAACUCUGAUGCAGCAACGCCGCGUGAGUGAUGAAGGUCUUCGGAUUGUAAAACUCUGUCUUCUGGGACGAUAACGACGGUACCAGAGGAGGAAGCCACGGCUAACUACGUGCCAGCAGCCGCCGUAA
This 467-nucleotide ribosomal RNA is filed under the name uncultured bacterium. RNAcentral describes it as "partial 16S ribosomal RNA". It matches the Rfam family "Bacterial small subunit ribosomal RNA", at positions 29 to 523 of the family's 1533-position model. The record is from RNAcentral.